CUUGGUUGGUCUGGAUGUCAUCAUGAAAGGGGUUUGUAGCAGUGUCUGAACCACUGGUCUGGAACCAUGGGUCUAAACUCUCUUAUGACGACUGGUUUUUUUUGUUUGUUUAAUGGAACACGAAUGCUCGCCUGUAUGUACAUGCAGUCUAUAUUUAUAUUAUAACCAACGCGAUUGAAUUAUGUAAAAAAUAGGUACGCUGAGCGUACAUGCGCCCGCUGUGACUACUGUCAGUCAUUGCCAGCUAGCUCUUGAUAACUAACACAAUCUCUUAUUUCUGUGAUUUAUACAUAUCAUCAUAAGAAGGAAAUUUCUGCCGUCCUGAAGGGGAGGGGGAAAUUGUUUUCGAUAGGGGGUUAACUUCCAAUUUCCACGGAGGAAAUUGGAAGUUAACCCCACUAUCCGAAAGGGGAUAGGAAGGUUAAUUUCCAAUUUCCUCUGUGGGGGAAGUACGGAUGUUUUCUGGAAUGACCCAAUGAGCAACAGCGUAACGGCGAAAAAUUCUUGAUUUUUCAAUCAAGUUGCUAAUCAAUCACGUACAGAAAAUUUAAUGUAGUAUAAUUUUAUUUACACUUUAUUUAAUUUAUUCAGCCUCCUUGUUAUACAGGGUGCCUCAAAAAAACGCCAUGGAAAUUCAACAGGCUGUUGUGCA
Paramuricea clavata is the source of this 652-nucleotide non-coding RNA. Lineage: Eukaryota; Metazoa; Cnidaria; Anthozoa; Malacalcyonacea; Plexauridae. The record is from the annotation of a GenBank genome assembly.